Molecule: ribosomal RNA, 591 nt
Filed under: Acrobeloides sp. MCb18f-r
Lineage: Eukaryota; Metazoa; Nematoda; Chromadorea; Rhabditida; Cephalobidae
Description: SSU rRNA
Rfam family: Eukaryotic small subunit ribosomal RNA
Source: RNAcentral
CAACUAGCGAUCCGCCGGUGGAUUUUUAGCCCUGGUGGGUAGCUUCCCGGAAACGAAAGUCUUCCGGUUCCGGGGGAAGUAUGGUUGCAAAGCUGAAACUUAAAGGAAUUGACGGAAGGGCACCACCAGGAGUGGAGCCUGCGGCUUAAUUUGACUCAACACGGGGAAACUCACCCGGCCCGGACACCGUAAGGAUUGACAGAUUGAUAGCUCUUUCAUGAUUCGGUGGUUGGUGGUGCAUGGCCGUUCUUAGUUCGUGGAUCGAUUUGUCUGGUUUAUUCCGAUAACGAGCGAGACUCUAGCCUACUAAAUAGUAACGAGAUUAUCAAUGUCUCAGUUGCUUCUUAGAGGGAUUUUCGGUGUUUAGCCGCACGAGAUUGAGCAAUAACAGGUCUGUGAUGCCCUUAGAUGUCCGGGGCUGCACGCGCGCUACACUGGCGAAAUCAGCGUGCUGUAUCCAUUCUCGAAAGGGAUUGGUAAACCCAUGAAAAUUUGCCGUGCUUGGGAUCGGAAAUUGCAAUUAUUUUCCGUGAACGAGGAAUUCCAAGUAAGUGCGAGUCAUCAACUCGCUCUGAUUACGUCCCUGCCCUU